RNAcentral lists this ribosomal RNA (604 nucleotides) under uncultured Actinomycetes bacterium. Its description in RNAcentral is "bacterial SSU rRNA". It matches the Rfam family "Bacterial small subunit ribosomal RNA", at positions 252 to 866 of the family's 1533-position model. The record is from RNAcentral. Lineage: Bacteria; Bacillati; Actinomycetota; Actinomycetes.
GUGGGGUGAUGGCCUACCAAGGCGACGACGGGUAGCCGGCCUGAGAGGGCGACCGGCCACACUGGGACUGAGACACGGCCCAGACUCCUACGGGAGGCAGCAGUGGGGAAUCUUGCGCAAUGGGCGAAAGCCUGACGCAGCGACGCCGCGUGAGGGAUGACGGCCUUCGGGUUGUAAACCUCUUUCAGCCCUGACGAAGCGAAAGUGACGGUAGGGGCAGAAGAAGCACCGGCCAACUACGUGCCAGCAGCCGCGGUAAUACGUAGGGUGUAAGCGUUGUCCGGAAUUAUUGGGCGUAAAGAGCUCGUAGGCGGUCUGUCGCGUCGGCUGUGAAAACUCGGGGCUCAACUCCGAGCUUGCAGUCGAUACGGGCAGGCUAGAGUUCGGCAGGGGAGACUGGAAUUCCUGGUGUAGCGGUGAAAUGCGCAGAUAUCAGGAGGAACACCGGUGGCGAAGGCGGGUCUCUGGGCCGAUACUGACGCUGAGGAGCGAAAGCGUGGGGAGCGAACAGGAUUAGAUACCCUGGUAGUCCACGCCGUAAACGUUGGGCGCUAGGUGUGGGAUCCCUUCCACGGGUUCCGUGCCGCAGCUAACGCAUUAAGCG